UGAUAAGUUAUACACGUAUAUGAAGUUCUACUGUCUACCUAGAAGGUCCGCUAUCGGAGUAGAUAUGCGAAAUGUUUGUCUUGAAUGCGAGGUUUUCAAGAUUUUCGACUUUUGCCUUCGGGAACUCAUUUCACCUCGUUCAAACUCAGCAAAACACUCCUCAACGGUUGAUUUUCCUGGUCCGAAUAAGGUUCAUCGAGCCAAACCUUGGCAUCAACAGUAUUUUCUUCACAAAAAAGCAAAGCUUCAUCAACACACACUAUCCCACAAACUAAUAGUCCAACAGCUGGGAAAUUUGUACACGUGUCUUGAAGAUUAGGGUUGUCUAAAAAUCAUAAGGAUUCAGUAUUAGUAGCGUCAUGUGUGUGUUAGCUUUCGAGCCCAUCUAGAACAGCUUGUAAAAGUCAAAUCAAAAUGAUAGAGCGUCAUUUUGAUAAUUUUCAUCAUUUGUUAUUACAGAAAUUCAGAAUUUCACUGAACUACUUCAAGUGGUAUAAUUUUUUCCCGAAUUACAUUUUCAAGUCCCAUUUUGUUGCCACACUAUUAAUUAAAAAGGUCUCUUUUGUGGAAAGAAAAGUUUUUGUCUUUUUUUUUGACAAAAUGAUAAAAAUGGCCAAUGUUUCGAGUAAAGCAAAGUAAAUGUAACUUCUCAGAAUCAAACAACAUACAAUAUUAAUGAAAUGUACUGAUGUGUAGUUGUACAAAAUAUUCUGAUUGGAUUUUUCAGAUUUGAAACCACUAGAAAAUUAGAAUGAGAGCUCUUUCCACACCUAAUAAGACAACCCAGGUAAUAAUGUGAGAAUUACCUAAAUAUUGAUUUAGUGGCGGCUGAAAGAGUCGAAUGUUAUCAAAAA
This is a long non-coding RNA of Leptinotarsa decemlineata (Colorado potato beetle), 854 nucleotides long. Lineage: Eukaryota; Metazoa; Arthropoda; Insecta; Coleoptera; Chrysomelidae. The record is from RefSeq and is a predicted model, not a curated record.